GGUGUAGCGGUGAAAUGCGCAGAUAUCAGGAGGAACCCCGGUGGCGAAGCCGGGUCUUCGGGAAGUAACUGACGCUGAGAAGCGAAAGCAUGGGUAGCAAACAGGAUUAGAUACCCUGGUAGUCCAUGCCGUAAACGGUGGGUACUAGGUGUGGGGCUCCUUCCACGGACUCCGUGCCGUAGCUAACGCAUUAAGUACCCCGCCUGGGGAGUACGGCCGCAAGGCUAAAACUCAAAGAAAUUGACGGGGGCCCGCACAAGCGGCGGAGCAUGUGGAUUAAUUCGAUGCAACGCGAAGAACCUUACCUGGGUUUGACAUACACCAGAAACACGUAGAGAUACGUGCCCCCUUGUGGUUGGUGUACAGGUGGUGCAUGGCUGUCGUCAGCUCGUGUCGUGAGAUGUUGGGUUAAGUCCCGCAACGAGCGCAACCCUUAUCUUAUGUUGCCAGCGCGUAAUGGCGGGGACUCGUGAGAGACUGCCGGGGUCAACUCGGAGGAAGGUGGGGACGACGUCAAGUCAUCAUGCCCCUUAUGUCCAGGGCUUCACACAUGCUACAAUGGCCGGUACAGAGGGCUGCGAUACCGUGAGGUGGAGCGAAUCCCUUAAAGCCGGUCUCAGUUCGGAUCGGGGUCUGCAACUCGACCCCGUGAAGUUGGAGUCGCUAGUAAUCGCAGAUCAGCA
Molecule: ribosomal RNA, 683 nt
Filed under: Nocardia ignorata
Lineage: Bacteria; Bacillati; Actinomycetota; Actinomycetes; Mycobacteriales; Nocardiaceae
Description: bacterial SSU rRNA
Rfam family: Bacterial small subunit ribosomal RNA
Source: RNAcentral